CAAGUCGAGCGGAAAGGCCUCUUCGGGGGUACUCGAGCGGCGAACGGGUGAGUAACACGUGAGUAACCUGCCCCAGUCUUUGAGAUAACCCUCGGAAACGGGGGCUAAUACCGGAUAUGACUGCUGGCCGCAUGGCUGGUGGUGGAAAGUUUUUAUGGUCUGGGAUGGGCUCGCGGCCUAUCAGCUUGUUGGUGGGGUGAUGGCCUACCAAGGCGACGACGGGUAGCCGGCCUGAGAGGGCGACCGGCCACACUGGGACUGAGACACGGCCCAGACUCCUACGGGAGGCAGCAGUGGGGAAUAUUGCACAAUGGGCGGAAGCCUGAUGCAGCGACGCCGCGUGAGGGAUGACGGCCUUCGGGUUGUAAACCUCUUUCAGCAGGGACGAAGCGUGAGUGACGGUACCUGCAGAAGAAGCGCCGGCCAACUACGUGCCAGCAGCCGCGGUAAGACGUAGGGCGCGAGCGUUGUCCGGAUUUAUUGGGCGUAAAGAGCUCGUAGGCGGCUUGUCGCGUCGUUCGUGAAAACCCACAGCUCAACUGUGGGCUUGCGGUCGAUACGGGCAGGCUGGAGUUCGGUAGGGGAGACUGGAAUUCCUGGUGUAGCGGUGAAAUGCGCAGAUAUCAGGAGGAACACCGGUGGCGAAGGCGGGUCUCUGGGCCGAUACUGACGCUGAGGAGCGAAAGCGUGGGGAGCGAACAGGAUUAGAUACCCUGGUAGUCCACGCUGUAAACGUUGGGCGCUAGGUGUGGGGGGCCUCUCCGGUUCUCUGUGCCGCAGCUAACGCAUUAAGCGCCCCGCCUGGGGGAGUACGGCCGCAAGGCUAAAACUCAAAGGAAUUGACGGGGCCCGCACAAGCGGCGGA
This 865-nucleotide ribosomal RNA is filed under the name uncultured Actinoplanes sp. Its description in RNAcentral is "bacterial SSU rRNA". It matches the Rfam family "Bacterial small subunit ribosomal RNA", at positions 58 to 936 of the family's 1533-position model. The record is from RNAcentral. Lineage: Bacteria; Bacillati; Actinomycetota; Actinomycetes; Micromonosporales; Micromonosporaceae.